This 47-nucleotide non-coding RNA is filed under the name Schistosoma mattheei. Lineage: Eukaryota; Metazoa; Platyhelminthes; Trematoda; Strigeidida; Schistosomatidae. The record is from RNAcentral.
AUUAGCUGACGAGUCGCAAAUAGGACGAAACGCGCAUCAAACUAGAU